This 495-nucleotide ribosomal RNA is filed under the name uncultured bacterium. Its description in RNAcentral is "partial 16S ribosomal RNA". It matches the Rfam family "Bacterial small subunit ribosomal RNA", at positions 30 to 507 of the family's 1533-position model. The record is from RNAcentral.
UGAACGCUGGCGGCGUGCCUCAUACAUGCAAGUCGCGCGAACAGACGCGGAGCUUGCUCCUCUGACGUUAGCGGCGGACGGGUGAGUAACACGUGGAUAACCUACCUAUAAGACUGGGAUAACUUCGGGAAACCGGAGCUAAUACCGGAUAAUAUAUAGAACCGCAUGGUUCAAUAGUGAAAGACGGUUUUGCUGUCACUUAUAGAUGGAUCCGCGCCGCAUUAGCUAGUUGGUAAGGUAACGGCUUACCAAGGCAACGAUGCGUAGCCGACCUGAGAGGGUGAUCGGCCACACUGGAACUGAGACACGGUCCAGACUCCUACGGGAGGCAGCAGUAGGGAAUCUUCCGCAAUGGGCGAAAGCUUGACGGAGCAACGCCGCGUGAGUGAUGAAGGUCUUCGGAUCGUAAAACUCUGUUAUUAGGGAAGAACAAAUGUGUAAGUAACUAUGCACGUCUUGACGGUACCUAAUCUGAAAGCCACGGCUAACUACGUG